GGCUUUAGUCAAGUCCACCCUUGUCGAGUCCAAGACAAGUCCAAGACCAGGACUAGUUGAGACCGAGUCAAGACCUAGUCCAAAGAGGUUUAAGUCCAAGUCAAGGCCGAGUCCAAAUGAGAGAACAAAGAAUCCUGUUC
This is a long non-coding RNA of Etheostoma cragini (Arkansas darter), 140 nucleotides long. RefSeq lists it as uncharacterized. NCBI's taxonomy places the organism in Eukaryota, Metazoa, Chordata, Actinopteri, Perciformes, Percidae. The transcript is spliced from 3 exons. The record is from RefSeq and is a predicted model, not a curated record.